CAAGUCGAGCGCGCAGCCACUGGUAGCAAUACCGGUGGUGGGCGAGCGGCGAACGGGUGCGUAACACGUGGGCAACCUGCCCCAGACUCUGGGAUAACCCCGGGAAACCGGGGCUAAUACCGGAUACUCUCGGCCGGCCGCAUGAUCGGCCGAGGAAAGCUCCGACGGUCUGGGAUGGGCCCGCGGCCUAUCAGCUUGUUGGUGGGGUAACGGCCUACCAAGGCGACGACGGGUAGCUGGUCUGAGAGGACGGCCAGCCACACUGGGACUGAGAUACGGCCCAGACUCCUACGGGAGGCAGCAGUGGGGAAUCUUGCGCAAUGGGCGAAAGCCUGACGCAGCGACGCCGCGUGAGGGAUGAAGGCCUUCGGGUUGUAAACCUCUUUCGGCAGGGACGAAGCGAAAGUGACGGUACCUGCAGAAGAAGCCCCGGCUAACUACGUGCCAGCAGCCGCGGUAAGACGUAGGGGGCGAGCGUUGUCCGGAUUUAUUGGGCGUAAAGCGCGCGUAGGCGGCCGCGCAAGUCGGAUGUGAAAACCCGGGGCUCAACCCCGGGCGUGCAUUCAAUACUGCGCGGCUCGAGACAGGUAGGGGAGAUCGGAAUUCCUGGUGUAGCGGUGAAAUGCGCAGAUAUCAGGAGGAACACCGGUGGCGAAGGCGGAUCUCUGGGCCUGUUCUGACGCUGAGGCGCGAAAGCUAGGGGAGCGAACAGGAUUAGAUACCCUGGUAGUCCUAGCCGUAAACGUUGGGUGCUAGGUGUGGGGGGAUAUCGACCCCUUCCGUGCCGAAGCUAACGCAUUAAGCACCCCG
Molecule: ribosomal RNA, 810 nt
Filed under: uncultured Actinomycetes bacterium
Lineage: Bacteria; Bacillati; Actinomycetota; Actinomycetes
Description: bacterial SSU rRNA
Rfam family: Bacterial small subunit ribosomal RNA
Source: RNAcentral